UUAUGCAGGCAUUAAUCAGUAUAAUUAAAAUAUGAUAGCAUCGGAUGUUAAAAGCACAGGUGGAAUGCAUUAAUGUAGAAAACAAAAGGGAGGAACUGCCACACUGUUUCUGUCUUACACACAGACACACAGACACACACAGAAGUACACACACACAGAUGUGUCUCAGAUCAAAAUUGAAACUAUCCUUAAGCAGGCAGAAGAAAAAUCUACUUACCAAUUCCUCUGCAGGAACUGUCUAAAUCCUAUAAUCUUGUCUUCCACUUGAUGGCGCUAUAAUGGCAUAGAGAUAAAGGAAGAAUCAUUAUUCUUUGUUUGUUUGAUUUAUGAAAUUCUGUCCAAAAACCCAAGCCCCAUGUUGGCAGGUGCUGAGAAAAAAAGUGCACUCAGAGGUUUCCUUCGUUCUUUUCUUCACAACUGGUAGGUACUGAGAAUGUGGAUGAAGCCUUUUAUAGACUGGCAUUUAAACUAAGCCAAUUUGCUAAAAAGAGGAAUAAAAACAGAUUUUGUGGUGUCUUUUUAAAAAGAGCCCCUCUUCAUUUAGAGACAGCAUCAUGCCACACUUCCUGUGUUACAUAGAUGGCCCUCAUUAUGUGCACAAGAGGUUUUCUGGUAUUAUAAUGUGGAUGGCUAAAAUAUUUAUAUUUUAUGUAUGUAUUACAGUUCACAUUUUUUAAUAAAAUCUUGGAUAGUUAACAUCUAAACUCAAGAUUUCUGGAGUCUUCAGUCAUUAUUUGCAUUCUGCUCAUCCUGACAUCUCUUCCUCCCACUCUCGAUGUUUGGCAGUUUUAGAGCGCAAGUGAAAAGGCCUAUUCCAGUUGAUGCCAGAGGAGGGUGGGGGCGUGGCUGUUAUACCACACUGGCAAGCAAGGCAAACAAGAAACAGGCUUGGCUACCACACAGACUUCAAGAAUGAAAAUAGAUUCAGGAUAUAAUAGUAGUUGGACAACAGUUUGGCUGAUCCCAUCGCAACUCUAGAAAUGCAUCAUUCGAUGCUUUAGAACUCCCUUUUACAGGGCACCGACAUGACUUGUGCUUCAUCCUACAAAGCUACCAAGCAGAAGCUCUCUACUCCUGGCUUUCUGCUGCUUCAGGACUUUCUCUCAGUGCUUGUGUUUCCCUUUAUAUGUUUCUUAAGAUUUACUUCUAUCAACAAAACCCUCUGUAUUAGUCAGCCAGGUCUGCCAUAACAAAGUGUCACCGACUGAGUGGCUUAAAAAACAAAAGUCGGGGGGCUGGGCGCAGUGGCUCAAGCCUGUAAUCCCUGCACUUUGAGAGGCCGAGGUGGGUGGACCACAAGGUCAGGGGAUCGAGACCAUCCUGGCUAACAGGGUGAAACCCUGUCUCUACUAAAAGUAGAAAAAGUUAGCUGGGCGUGGUGGGUGGGCGCCUGUAGUCCAAGCUACUCAGGAGGCUGAGGCGGGAGAAUGGCGUGAACUUGGGAGGUGGAGCUUGCAGUGAGCUGAGAUUGUGCCACUGUACUCCAGCCUGGGCGAGAGAGCGAGACUCAAAAAAAAAAAAAAAAA
RNAcentral lists this long non-coding RNA (1526 nucleotides) under Macaca fascicularis (crab-eating macaque). Its description in RNAcentral is "lncRNA (ENSMFAG00000049733.1)". Lineage: Eukaryota; Metazoa; Chordata; Mammalia; Primates; Cercopithecidae. The record is from RNAcentral.